Molecule: non-coding RNA, 639 nt
Organism: Saimiri boliviensis boliviensis (Bolivian squirrel monkey)
Lineage: Eukaryota; Metazoa; Chordata; Mammalia; Primates; Cebidae
Source: RefSeq, a predicted model, not a curated record
GUGCACCCCUCCUGCAUGAGGCUCAGCACCAGGGGUCCAACGGAGGUCACAGUCACAGCACAGAAUGGGAGGUUUGCAGGGAGGGCUACCCCAGAGGGCAGAGUGAAAACAGGAGAAAGCUGCAGCCUUUCUUCUUCAUCCUCCUUGGGGAGCUAAUUACAGGCCAGCAGCCACUGUGCAGGAUCGGUUAUCCGGCUGCAGCAGAUAGCCUUCGACACAGCCACACGUGAAGGAGCCGUCUGUGUUGGUGCAUAGCUGACUGCAGGUGCCGUACACUGAGCACUCAUCAAAAUCUGCCAGGGAAAGGACAAGAAUGUGGUCAUUUCCAGUGUGACAAGGGCAGAGAAGUGAGUGCCCAUCAGACAUGACCAAUGUGUCCAUCCUUAUAGCUACCUUGAAGGACAGUUCGGCAGAAUCUAUUACAGCAUGAAAUGUGCAAACCUUAUCACCCAGCAAGUCCAGUCUUGGAAUCCACUCUAAGGAAACGCAUAUGCACAUGUCAUUUAUUGAUGUAGGGAAGAUUAUUGAGUCCCCACUAUGGGGCAAGUGCCAGGGGUACAUCAGUGAACCUUAAAAUAGACCCACAUUCCUGUCCUCAUGAAACUUAUAUUCAGACAAUAAAUGAAAUAGUUACUAUAA